RNAcentral lists this ribosomal RNA (495 nucleotides) under uncultured microorganism. RNAcentral describes it as "bacterial SSU rRNA". It matches the Rfam family "Bacterial small subunit ribosomal RNA", at positions 9 to 484 of the family's 1533-position model. The record is from RNAcentral.
GAGUUUGAUCGUGGCUCAGGAUGAACGCUGGCGGCGUGCCUAAUACAUGCAAGUCGAGCGAACGGACGAGAAGCUUGCUUCUCUGAUGUUAGCGGCGGACGGGUGAGUAACACGUGGAUAACCUACCUAUAAGACUGGGAUAACUUCGGGAAACCGGAGCUAAUACCGGGAUAAAUAUUUUGAACCGCAUGGUUCAAAAGUGAAAGACGGUCUUGCUGUCACUUAUAGAUGGAUCCGCGCUGCAUUAGCUAGUUGGUAAGGUAACGGCUUACCAAGGCAACGAUGCAUAGCCGACCUGAGAGGGUGAUCGGCCACACUGGAACUGAGACACGGUCCAGACUCCUACGGGAGGCAGCAGUAGGGAAUCUUCCGCAAUGGGCGAAAGCCUGACGGAGCAACGCCGCGUGAGUGAUGAAGGUCUUCGGAUCGUAAAACUCUGUUAUUAGGGUAAGAACAUAUGUGUAAGUAACUGUGCACAUCUUGACGGUACUAAUC